UACGGAGGAUCCGAGCGUUAUCCGGAAUUACUGGGCGUAAAGGGUGCGUAGGUGGUUUCUUAAGUCAGAGGUGAAAGGCUACGGCUCAACCGUAGUAAGCCUUUGAAACUGGGAAACUUGAGUGCAGGAGAGGAGAGUGGAAUUCCUAGUGUAGCGGUGAAAUGCGUAGAUAUUAGGAGGAACACCAGUUGCGAAGGCGGCUCUCUGGACUGUAACUGACACUGAGGCACGAAAGCGUGUGGAGCAAACAGGAUUAGAUACCCCGGUAGUCCCUGA
RNAcentral lists this ribosomal RNA (276 nucleotides) under uncultured prokaryote. Its description in RNAcentral is "partial 16S ribosomal RNA". It matches the Rfam family "Bacterial small subunit ribosomal RNA", at positions 524 to 800 of the family's 1533-position model. The record is from RNAcentral.